RNAcentral lists this ribosomal RNA (425 nucleotides) under uncultured bacterium. RNAcentral describes it as "bacterial SSU rRNA". It matches the Rfam family "Bacterial small subunit ribosomal RNA", at positions 354 to 796 of the family's 1533-position model. The record is from RNAcentral.
GUGGGGAAUAUUGGACAAUGGGCGCAAGCCUGAUCCAGCAAUGCCGCGUGGGUGAAGAAGGUCUUCGGAUCGUAAAGCCCUUUCGACAGGGACGAUGAUGACGGUACCUGUAGAAGUAGCCCCGGCUAACUUCGUGCCAGCAGCCGCGGUAAUACGAAGGGGGCUAGCGUUACUCGGAAUUACUGGGCGUAAAGGGCGCGUAGGCGGCUCUGUUAGUCAGGCGUGAAAUUCCUGGGCUUAACCUGGGGACUGCGCUUGAUACUGCAGGGCUUGAGGCCGAGAGAGGGUGGUGGAAUUCCCAGUGUAGAGGUGAAAUUCGUAGAUAUUGGGAAGAACACCGGUGGCGAAGGCGACCACCUGGCUCGGUUCUGACGCUGAGGCGCGACAGCGUGGGGAGCAAACAGGAUUAGAUACCCCAGUAGUCC